RNAcentral lists this ribosomal RNA (506 nucleotides) under uncultured bacterium. RNAcentral describes it as "bacterial SSU rRNA". It matches the Rfam family "Bacterial small subunit ribosomal RNA", at positions 36 to 524 of the family's 1533-position model. The record is from RNAcentral.
GGCAACCUGGCGGUGUGCUUACACAUGCAGUGGAGCGACGAACCAGGGCUUGCCCUGGGGCAGAGCCGCGAACGGGUGAGUAACACGUGGGUAACCUACCCCGAUGACCGGGACAACCCGAGGAAACUCGGGCUAAUACCGGAUAUGUCCGACAAUCACGAGGUUGUCGAGCAAAGGAAGCUUCGGCCUCCGCUUCGGGAGGGGCCCGCGGCCCAUUAGCUAGUUGGUGGGGUAAUGGCCUACCAAGGCUGCGAUGGGUAGCUGGUCUGAGAGGACGAUCAGCCACACUGGGACUGAGACACGGCCCAGACUCCUACGGGAGGCAGCAGUGGGGAAUCUUGCGCAAUGCGCGAAAGCGUGACGCAGCAACACCGCGUGAGGGAAGACGGCCUUCGGGUUGUAAACCUCUUUCAGGAGGGACGAAGGGUAGGCGGUGAAUAGCCGUUCUACCUGACGGUACCUUCAGAAGAAGCACCGGCUAACUACGUGCCAGCAGCCGCGGUAAU